GAUGAACGCUGACAGAAUGCUUAACACAUGCAAGUCAACUUGAAUUUGGGUUUUUAACUUAGGUUUGGGUGGCGGACGGGUGAGUAACGCGUAAAGAACUUGCCUCACAGUUAGGGACAACAUUUGGAAACGAAUGCUAAUACCUAAUAUUAUGAUAAUAGGGCAUCCUAUGAUUAUGAAAGCUAUAAGCGCUGUGAGAGAGCUUUGCGUCCCAUUAGCUAGUUGGAGAGGUAACGGCUCACCAAGGCGAUGAUGGGUAGCCGGCCUGAGAGGGUGAUCGGCCACAAGGGGACUGAGACACGGCCCUUACUCCUACGGGAGGCAGCAGUGGGGAAUAUUGGGCAAUGGACCAAGAGUCUGAUCCAGCAAUUCUGUGUGCACGAUGAAGUUUUUCGGAAUGUAAAGUGCUUUCAGUUGGGAAGAAAGAAAUGACGGUACCAACAGAAGAAGUGACGGCUAAAUACGUGCCAGCAGCCGCGGUAAUACGUAUGUCACGAGCGUUAUCCGGAUUUAUUGGGCGUAAAGCGCGUCUAGGUGGUUAUGUAAGUCUGAUGUGAAAAUGCAGGGCUCAACUCUGUAUUGCGUUGGAAACUGUAUAACUAGAGUACUGGAGAGGUAAGCGGAACUACAAGUGUAGAGGUGAAAUUCGUAGAUAUUUGUAGGAAUGCCGAUGGGGAAGCCAGCUUACUGGACAGAUACUGACGCUGAAGCGCGAAAGCGUGGGUAGCAAACAGG
This 735-nucleotide ribosomal RNA is filed under the name uncultured Fusobacterium sp. RNAcentral's name for it is "bacterial SSU rRNA". It matches the Rfam family "Bacterial small subunit ribosomal RNA", at positions 28 to 776 of the family's 1533-position model. Lineage: Bacteria; Fusobacteriati; Fusobacteriota; Fusobacteriia; Fusobacteriales; Fusobacteriaceae. The record is from RNAcentral.